UAAGUAUAACCUGCCAGACAGGGAACUGCGUACGGCUCAUUACACCAGCCUUAAUUUACUUGACCUUGACAACCUACUUGGAUAACUGUGGUAAUUCUAGAGCUAAUACAUGCACCAAAGCUCCGAUCCUCGCGGAGAGGAGCGCAUUUGUUCGCCACAAAACCAAGCGCCCAUCUGGGCGUCCAGUGCUGAACCAGAACAACUCAGCUGAUCGCACGGUCUUGUACCGGCGACGUGUCUUUCAAGUGUCUGCCUUAUCAACUUUCGAUGGUAGUGUACCUGACUACCAUGGUUGUGACGGGUAACGGAGGAUAAGGGUUCGACUCCGGAGAAGGGGCCUGAGAAAUGGCCACUACGUCUAAGGAUGGCAGCAGGCGCGCAAAUUACCCACUCUCAACGCGAGGAGGUAGUGACGAGAAAUAACGAGACCGUUCUCAUACGAGGCCGGUUAUUGGAAUGGGUACAAUUUACA
Molecule: ribosomal RNA, 472 nt
Filed under: unidentified nematode Sourhope farm
Lineage: Eukaryota; Metazoa; Nematoda
Description: SSU rRNA
Rfam family: Eukaryotic small subunit ribosomal RNA
Source: RNAcentral